AGAACGAACGCUGGCGGCAUGCCUAACACAUGCAAGUCGAACGAGACCUUCGGGUCUAGUGGCGCACGGGUGCGUAACGCGUGGGAAUCUGCCCUUAGGUACGGAAUAACAGUGAGAAAUUACUGCUAAUACCGUAUGAUGUCUUCGGACCAAAGAUUUAUCGCCUAGGGAUGAGCCCGCGUUGGAUUAGCUAGUUGGUGGGGUAAAGGCCUACCAAGGCGACGAUCCAUAGCUGGUCUGAGAGGAUGAUCAGCCACACUGGGACUGAGACACGGCCCAGACUCCUACGGGAGGCAGCAGUGGGGAAUAUUGGACAAUGGGCGAAAGCCUGAUCCAGCAAUGCCGCGUGAGUGAAGAAGGCCUUCGGGUUGUAAAGCUCUUUUACCCGGAAGAUAAUGACUGUACCGGGAGAAUAAGCCCCGGCUAACUCCGUGCCAGCAGCCGC
This 445-nucleotide ribosomal RNA is filed under the name uncultured bacterium. RNAcentral's name for it is "SSU rRNA". It matches the Rfam family "Bacterial small subunit ribosomal RNA", at positions 26 to 518 of the family's 1533-position model. The record is from RNAcentral.